This 488-nucleotide long non-coding RNA is filed under the name Sarcophilus harrisii (Tasmanian devil). RNAcentral's name for it is "lncRNA (ENSSHAG00000031370.1)". Lineage: Eukaryota; Metazoa; Chordata; Mammalia; Dasyuromorphia; Dasyuridae. The record is from RNAcentral.
UAUGUGCACCAAUCAUUCUUUUAGCAGAUAAAGAGUAUGUUGUAGAAGAAAAUGGAUUUCAAGUGCAUCAUUAAUUACAGAACAAGAGAGCUUUAUAAAUGAAACUAUGGAUCUCUAUCAUGUUGAUCUUGGUUGCAUAUUUGACAUCCCAUGGAAGUAUCUGCUGUGGAUUAGCAAGCCCUUACUCCUCUAUCUUCCUCCCAGUGCCCCUUUCUCUUUUACCAUCAAUGCCUGCUCAUCAAAUGAAGUAACAUAAAGAUGCCCCUUGAAUGGAAAGGUCAGCCACAGAUUGCCAAGAGUUUGCAUAGGUGAUAUGAGCCUUCUGAACCCACUUCUACUCUUGGAAGAGGACAAUGGUAUUUAUAAUGCUCUGAAGUCACCAAAGUCCACCUUUGAUACUUUGGAGUGGUGUGGAAGGAACUUCAGGCUCUUCAGGUCUAUUCCAACAUCUUACAAAACUGGAAAAUCUUCAAACCAUGAUAGACUAG